AGAGUUUGAUCCUGGCUCAGAUUGAACGCUGGCGGCAUGCCUAACACAUGCAAGUCGAACGGCAGCACGGUCUGUAGCAAUACAGAUGGGUGGCGAGUGGCGGACGGGUGAGUAAAGCGCAGGAAUCUGCCCUAUGGAGUGGGAUAACUUUAGGAAACUGGAGCUAAUACCACAUACACUCGAGAGAGGAAAGCUAGGCCGAAAGGUCUGGCGCCAAAGGAGGAGCUUGCGUCUGAUUAGCUAGUUGGUGAGGUAAAGGCUCACCAAGGCGAAGAUCGGUAGCUGAUCUGAGAGGAUGAUCAGCCACACUGGGACUGAGACACGGCCCAGACUCCUACGGGAGGCAGCAGUGGGGAAUAUUGGACAAUGGGGGCAACCCUGAUCCAGCAAUGCCGCGUGUGUGAAGAAGGCCUUCGGGUUGUAAAGCACUUUAGUUGGGGAAGAAGAUUUGGAGUUUAAGAGAUGCCAAAUUUGACGGUACCCAAAGAAUAAGCACCGGCUAACUCUGUGCCAGCAGCCGCGGUAAUACAGAGGGUGCAAGCGUUAAUCGGAAUGACUGGGCGUAAAGGGCGCGUAGGUGGAUAUUUAAGUGAGAUGUGAAAGCCCCGGGCUUAACCUGGGAAUGGCAUUUUAGACUGGAUAUCUGGAGUACAGUAGAGGGUGGAGGAAUUUCCGGUGUAGCGGUGAAAUGCGUAGAUAUCGGAAGGAACACCAGUGGCGAAGGCGACCACCUGGACUGAUACUGACACUGAGGCGCGAGAGCGUGGGUAGCAAACAGGAUUAGAUACCCUGGUAGUCCA
This 800-nucleotide ribosomal RNA is filed under the name uncultured bacterium. RNAcentral's name for it is "bacterial SSU rRNA". It matches the Rfam family "Bacterial small subunit ribosomal RNA", at positions 8 to 797 of the family's 1533-position model. The record is from RNAcentral.